CGUGGAUAAUCUACCCUCAAGUCUGGGAUAAUCCUCCGAAAGGAGGUGUAAUACCGGAUAACACCUCAUGAUGGCAUCUUCGUGAGGUCAAAGGCGGGGCAACCUGUCGCCUGAGGAUGAGUCCGCGCUCCAUUAGCUUGUUGGUGGGGUAAAAGCCUACCAAGGCUGUGAUGGAUAGCCGGCCUGAGAGGGUGAUCGGCCACACUGGGACUGAGAUACGGCCCAG
This 226-nucleotide ribosomal RNA is filed under the name uncultured bacterium. RNAcentral describes it as "partial 16S ribosomal RNA". It matches the Rfam family "Bacterial small subunit ribosomal RNA", at positions 116 to 334 of the family's 1533-position model. The record is from RNAcentral.